This 468-nucleotide ribosomal RNA is filed under the name uncultured bacterium. Its description in RNAcentral is "partial 16S ribosomal RNA". It matches the Rfam family "Bacterial small subunit ribosomal RNA", at positions 28 to 507 of the family's 1533-position model. The record is from RNAcentral.
GACGAACGCUGGCGGCGUGCUUAACACAUGCAAGUCGAACGGAAAGGCCCUGCUUUUGUGUGGUGCUCGAGUGGCGAACGGGUGAGUAACACGUGAGUAACCUGCCCUUGUCUUUCGGAUAACUUCAGGAAACUGGGGCUAAUACCGGAUAGGAGCUCCUGCUGCAUGGUGGGGGUUGGAAAGUUUCGGCGGUUGGGGAUGGACUCGCGGCUUAUCAGCUUGUUGGUGGGGUAGUGGCUUACCAAGUCUUUGACGGGUAGCCGGCCUGAGAGGGUGUCCGGCCACAAUGGGACUGAGGGACGGACCAGACUCCUACGGGAGGCAGCAGGGGGGAAUAUGGCACAAUGGGCGGAAGCCUGAGGCAGCAGCGCCGCGUGCGGGAUGACGGGCUUCGGGUUGUAAACCGCUUUCGCCGGUGACGAAGCGUGAGUGACGGUAAUGGGUAAAGAAGCACCGGCUAACUACGUG